RNAcentral lists this small nuclear RNA (101 nucleotides) under Solanum tuberosum (potato). Lineage: Eukaryota; Viridiplantae; Streptophyta; Magnoliopsida; Solanales; Solanaceae. The record is from RNAcentral.
GUCCCUUCGGGGAUAUUUGAUAAGAUUGGAACGAUACAGAAAAGGUUAUCAUAACCCACACAAAGGAUAAAAAAAUCUGAUUUUAGUUUUUCUCUUAUUCA